Molecule: long non-coding RNA, 497 nt
Organism: Hyla sarda
Lineage: Eukaryota; Metazoa; Chordata; Amphibia; Anura; Hylidae
Exons: 3
Source: RefSeq, a predicted model, not a curated record
CCGCCUCCUCCUCCGCUCUCCCUGCUCCGCACCUAUCCGCGCUCCCCGGUACAGGUUGGACGUGCAGGUGUGGAGGCGCGCACCAGCAGCACAGUGCGGCUGAGCCCGGGCAUAGGGAUACAGUACAGAGUUCCAGCGCCUGCAGCCGCAACAAACAGGAGUACGAGGAGGGCAGCGAUUGCGGGUGACAUACAUAACAUAUCGCGAGAGUGGCGUGCUAUGUAAUUUGCUGAAGGGUGCACUAUUGUAGGCGUGAAAAAGGGAGCAAUCCUGAAACGUUGCUAUCGGGGCACAUAGACGUGUGUGCUCUGUUCUGUCAUCUGGAGGAAAGGCUGGAUAAUCGGCAGGAGGACAUGGAAGCUCCGGUGGGAGCAAUGGACUUUACGAGACAAGCCGAGUCCAUUAAAUGUCAGUAAAGUGAUCGAUCUGCACACGGGUGAUAUUUAUCUUUUUUUGUACCGAAUAUGUAAUGGAAUUACUAUUUAUGAUGAAAUGAA